CCCCUCAAUGAUGAAGAUCUGAUCUCACAUAUCCUCUCCGGGCUAGAUAUGGACUACCAGCCACUGAUUUCUGCCCUUGACGUCCGCACCGAGCCGCUUUCACUAGAUCACCUCUUUGCCCUCAUGUCUAACUUCGAUC
Triticum urartu is the source of this 139-nucleotide non-coding RNA. Lineage: Eukaryota; Viridiplantae; Streptophyta; Magnoliopsida; Poales; Poaceae. The record is from Rfam.